This is a long non-coding RNA of Motacilla alba alba, 742 nucleotides long. RefSeq lists it as uncharacterized. The transcript is spliced from 3 exons. The record is from RefSeq and is a predicted model, not a curated record. Lineage: Eukaryota; Metazoa; Chordata; Aves; Passeriformes; Motacillidae.
CUCCUGACUUCCAGGCUGGGGAGAGGUGACAGCUCUGGUGAGCACGAGCCCUCCCUGCAGCAGCCUGCCCACCCCAGAGCCUCUGCAGGCAAAAAUCCCCUCUGGAAGGGGGUGGGCAGCAGAUCCCCAGCCUGGACAGGCCUUGGCAUCUCCCCAGGGAGUGACAAACCUGCUCUGGAAGUGACAAACCAAAGUCCAAAGACUCGCUGCUCCCUAAGGGACUGGCGCUGCCAUCAAAGGAGCCCCUCGGCUGCCACCACGCUCAGGAGCGGAGGCUUUGAAAGGAAAGCAGCUCUAGUUCAGUGCCAGAAUUUUCCAGUUUUAUUUAUGAAGCUGUUCUAGAUACAGAUUAACUUCCCCUGCCUCCUGUUGGUCAUUAACUCUGGGAGAAGCUGAGCUCUGGAGGGUUCGUUGCUCCAGGAGAGGGCCUCAUCCUGGCUCCAGGAUCAUGGAUUGGGCACUCUCAGCCCAUCUUCAGCCUCCUUGGGCUCUUUAGGGAGGAACGUGGCACCAGGAAUCCUUGAAGGAACGGGAUGUGACAGGAAGCAGUGGCAGUCAGCAGGGUGAUGGUGAUGGACAGGAGCUACCCCUCUCCUUGCCACCUGACACAAUGGCACCAAAACUCUGGUUAUUUGUAUCGUUGCUCUCAGUGUCCCUGGGACUUAGCAAACUCUUUUAACAACACGCCUUUCCUGAGGUUUCCAUGCAAAUCAAUGCAAAUAAAGUUAAUUAAUAUUAUUAA